GACAGAGGGUGCAAACGUUGUUCGGAAUUACUGGGCGUAAAGCGCGUGUAGGCGGCCCUGCAAGUCGGAUGUGAAAUCCCACGGCUCAACCGUGGAAGUGCAUUCGAAACUGCAGGGCUAGAGUCCUGGAGAGGAAGGUGGAAUGCUUGGUGUAGAGGUGAAAUUCGUAGAUAUUGGGAAGAACACCGGUGGCGAAGGCGGCGCUCUGGACCGAGACUGACGCUGAGGCACGAAGGUCAGGGGAGCAAACGGG
This 253-nucleotide ribosomal RNA is filed under the name uncultured bacterium. RNAcentral describes it as "partial 16S ribosomal RNA". It matches the Rfam family "Bacterial small subunit ribosomal RNA", at positions 524 to 776 of the family's 1533-position model. The record is from RNAcentral.